This 490-nucleotide ribosomal RNA is filed under the name uncultured bacterium. RNAcentral's name for it is "partial 16S ribosomal RNA". It matches the Rfam family "Bacterial small subunit ribosomal RNA", at positions 29 to 507 of the family's 1533-position model. The record is from RNAcentral.
AGUGAACGCUGGCGGUAGGCCUAACACAUGCAAGUCGAACGGCAGCACAGGAGAGCUUGCUCUCUGGGUGGCGAGUGGCGGACGGGUGAGGAAUACAUCGGAAUCUGCCCAGUCGUGGGGGAUAACGUAGGGAAACUUACGCUAAUACCGCAUACGACCUUCGGGUGAAAGAGGGGGAUCGCAAGACCUCUCGCGAUUGGAUGAGCCGAUGUCGGAUUAGCUAGUUGGCGGGGUAAUGGCCCACCAAGGCGACGAUCCGUAGCUGGUCUGAGAGGACGAUCAGCCACACUGGAACUGAGACACGGUCCAGACUCCUACGGGAGGCAGCAGUGGGGAAUAUUGGACAAUGGGCGCAAGCCUGAUCCAGCCAUACCGCGUGGGUGAAGAAGGCCUUCGGGUUGUAAAGCCCUUUUGUUGGGAAAGAAAUCUUUCAGGCUAAUACCCUGGGAGGAUGACGGUACCCAAAGAAUAAGCACCGGCUAACUUCGUG